This 253-nucleotide ribosomal RNA is filed under the name uncultured bacterium. Its description in RNAcentral is "partial 16S ribosomal RNA". It matches the Rfam family "Bacterial small subunit ribosomal RNA", at positions 524 to 776 of the family's 1533-position model. The record is from RNAcentral.
UACGGGGGGGGCAAGCGUUGUUCGGAAUUACUGGGCGUAAAGGGCUCGUAGGUGGCCAACUAAGUCAGACGUGAAAUCCCUCGGCUUAACCGGGGAACUGCGUCUGAUACUGGAUGGCUUGAGUUUGGGAGAGGGAUGCGGAAUUCCCGGUGUAGAGGUGAAAUUCGUAGAUAUCGGGAGGAACACCAGUGGCGAAGGCGGCGACCUGGACAGAUAUUGACGCUGAGGUGCGAAAGCGUGGGGAGCAAACAGG